RNAcentral lists this ribosomal RNA (497 nucleotides) under uncultured bacterium. RNAcentral's name for it is "partial 16S ribosomal RNA". It matches the Rfam family "Bacterial small subunit ribosomal RNA", at positions 28 to 507 of the family's 1533-position model. The record is from RNAcentral.
GAUGAACGCUGGCGGCGUGCCUAAUACAUGCAAGUCGAGCGAACGGACGAGAAGCUUGCUUCUCUGAUGUUAGCGGCGGACGGGUGAGUAACACGUGGAUAACCUACCUAUAAGACUGGGAUAACUUCGGGAAACCGGAGCUAAUACCGGAUAAUAUUUUGAACCGCAUGGUUCAAAAGUGAAAGACGGUCUUGCUGUCACUUAUAGAUGGAUCCGCGCUGCAUUAGCUAGUUGGUAAGGUAACGGCUUACCAAGGCAACGAUGCAUAGCCGACCUGAGAGGGAGAUCGGGCACACGGGAACUGAGACACGGUCCAGACUCCUACGGGAGGCAGCAGUAGAGAAUCUUCCGCGAUGGACGAAAGCCUGACGGAGCAACACCGCGGGAGUGAUGAAGGUCUUCGGAUCGUAAAACGCUGUUAUUAGGAAAGAACAUAUGUUUAAGUAACUGUGCAGAUCAUGACGGUACCUAAUCAAAAAGCCACGGCUAACUACGUG